This 194-nucleotide ribosomal RNA is filed under the name uncultured bacterium. RNAcentral's name for it is "partial 16S ribosomal RNA". It matches the Rfam family "Bacterial small subunit ribosomal RNA", at positions 338 to 524 of the family's 1533-position model. The record is from RNAcentral.
CCUACGGGAGGCAGCAGUGGGGAAUUUUGGACAAUGGGGGCAACCCUGAUCCAGCCAUCCCGCGUGUGCGAUGAAGGCCUUCGGGUUGUAAAGCACUUUUGGCAGGGAAGAAACGACGCCGGAUAAUACCUGGUGUUAAUGACGGUACCUGCAGAAUAAGCACCGGCUAACUACGUGCCAGCAGCCGCGGUAAU